This 859-nucleotide ribosomal RNA is filed under the name uncultured bacterium. Its description in RNAcentral is "bacterial SSU rRNA". It matches the Rfam family "Bacterial small subunit ribosomal RNA", at positions 60 to 914 of the family's 1533-position model. The record is from RNAcentral.
AGUCGAGCGGAUGAAGAGAGCUUGCUCUCUUGUUCAGCGGCGGACGGGUGAGUAAUGCCUAGGAAUCUGCCUGGUAGUGGGGGACAACGUCUCGAAAGGGACGCUAAUACCGCAUACGUCCUACGGGAGAAAGCAGGGGACCUUCGGGCCUUGCGCUAUCAGAUGAGCCUAGGUCGGAUUAGCUAGUUGGUGAGGUAAUGGCUCACCAAGGCGACGAUCCGUAACUGGUCUGAGAGGAUGAUCAGUCACACUGGAACUGAGACACGGUCCAGACUCCUACGGGAGGCAGCAGUGGGGAAUAUUGGACAAUGGGCGAAAGCCUGAUCCAGCCAUGCCGCGUGUGUGAAGAAGGUCUUCGGAUUGUAAAGCACUUUAAGUUGGGAGGAAGGGCAGUAAGCGAAUACCUUGCUGUUUUGACGUUACCGACAGAAUAAGCACCGGCUAACUCUGUGCCAGCAGCCGCGGUAAUACAGAGGGUGCAAGCGUUAAUCGGAAUUACUGGGCGUAAAGCGCGCGUGGGUGGUUUGUUAAGUUGAAUGUGAAAUCCCCGGGCUCAACCUGGGAACUGCAUCCAAAACUGGCAAGCUAGAGUAGGGCAGAGGGUGGUGGAAUUUCCUGUGUAGCGGUGAAAUGCGUAGAUAUAGGAAGGAACACCAGUGGCGAAGGCGACCACCUGGGCUCAUACUGACACUGAGGUGCGAAAGCGUGGGGAGCAAACAGGAUUAGAUACCCCGGUAGUCCACGCCGUAAACGAUGUCAACUAGCCGUUGGAAGCCUUGAGCUUUUAGUGGCGCAGCUAACGCAUUAAGUUGACCGCCUGGGGAGUACGGCCGCAAGGUUAAAACUCAAAUGAAUUGAC